RNA transcript from Pan troglodytes (chimpanzee), 5455 nucleotides. It is a transcript of the gene named poly(ADP-ribose) polymerase family member 15, with no coding region annotated. The record is from RefSeq and is a predicted model, not a curated record. The transcript is spliced from 13 exons. NCBI's taxonomy places the organism in Eukaryota, Metazoa, Chordata, Mammalia, Primates, Hominidae.
AAGGAAGUUCGAGGCACAAGCCUGUUGGGUGGGGCGCACCUGCAGUCCCAGCGAGCUGAGGAUGGCUGCGCCAGGCCCCCUUCCCGCCGCUGCUCUGAGUCCAGGGGCUCCGACCCCCAGAGAACUUAUGCACGGAGUUGCAGGUGUUACUUCCAGAGCCGGACGAGAUCGGGAGGCGGGGAGCGUGCUGCCGGCCGGGAACCGUGGGGCGCGGAAGGCCUCCCGGCGCUCUUCCUCCCGGAGUAUGUCCAGAGACAACAAGUUCAGCAAGAAAGAUUGUCUUUCAAUCAGGAAUGUUGUAGCUUCCAUCCAAACCAAAGAAGGUCUGAAUCUCAAGUUGAUAAGUGGAGAUGUUCUGUACAUCUGGGCCGAUGUCAUUGUCAACAGCGUUCCCAUGAAUCUUCAGCUUGGAGGAGGACCACUAUCUCGGGCAUUUUUGCAGAAAGCUGGUCCCAUGCUCCAGAAAGAGUUAGAUGACAGAAGGCGGGAAACAGAGGAAAAAGUAGGUAACAUAUUCAUGACAAGCGGCUGCAAUCUGGACUGCAAAGCUGUGCUCCAUGCUGUGGCUCCAUACUGGAAUAAUGGAGCAGAGACUUCUUGGCAGAUCAUGGCAAAUAUAAUCAAGAAAUGUUUGACAACUGUAGAAGUGCUAUCUUUCUCAUCAAUCACAUUUCCCAUGAUUGGAACAGGAAGUUUGCAGUUUCCCAAAGCUGUUUUUGCUAAACUAAUCCUUUCAGAAGUGUUCGAAUACAGUAGCAGCACAAGGCCGAUAACUAGCCCUUUACAAGAAGUCCACUUUCUGGUAUAUACAAAUGACGAUGAAGGCUGUCAGGCAUUUUUAGAUGAAUUCACUAACUGGUCAAGAAUAAAUCCCAACAAGGCCAGGAUUCCCAUGGCAGGAGAUACCCAAGGUGUGGUCGGGACUGUCUCUAAGCCUUGUUUCACAGCAUAUGAAAUGAAAAUUGGUGCAAUUACUUUUCAGGUUGCUACUGGAGAUAUAGCCACUGAACAGGUAGAUGUUAUUGUAAACUCAACAGCAAGGACAUUUAAUCGGAAAUCAGGUGUGUCAAAAGCUAUUUUAGAAGGUGCUGGACAAGCUGUGGAAAGUGAAUGUGCUGUACUAGCUGCACAGCCUCACAGAGAUUUUAUAAUUACACCAGGUGGAUGCUUAAAGUGCAAAAUAAUAAUUCAUGUUCCUGGGAGAAAAGAUGUCAGGAAAACGGUCACCAGUGUUCUAGAAGAGUGUGAGCAGAGGAAGUACACAUCGGUUUCCCUUCCAGCCAUCGGAACAGGAAAUGCCGGAAAAAACCCAAUCACAGUUGCUGAUAACAUAAUCGAUGCUAUUGCAGACUUCUUAUCGCAACAUUCCACCCCAUCAUUAAAAACAGUUAAAGUUGUCAUUUUUCAACCUGAGCUGCUAAAUGUAUUCUACGACAGCAUGAAAAAAAGAGACCUCUCUGCAUCACUGAACUUUCAGUCCACAUUCUCCAUGACUACAUGUAAUCUUCCUGAACACUGGACUGACAUGAAUCAUCAGCUGUUUUGCAUGGUCCAGCUAGAGCCAGGACAAUCAGAAUAUAAUAUCAUAAAGGACAAGUUCACCCGAACUUGUUCUUCCUACGCAAUAGAGAAGGGACUUGAGCAUCCUCAGAUUUUGAUAUCUGCGGAGGUCCUGGAACCAAUCCUCCAUGGAUAUUGAGGGAUGACUGUACAAGAAGUGCAAGAACCUCAUUUCAAUUGUGUUUACACAAUAUCUGCGACUUUCUUGGCUCAUACUUCUUUUGAAAACCCCCAACUUUGGACUAGUCCCAUAACCUACCUUCUCUGCUGCUGCUCUUAGAUGAAAUCCUUACUAAUUCAUGGUCCCCAGCCUCAGCUGGACCCUCCAGGCUGCUUGGAAUCCUUCAUUGCUUCCUCCAGUCAACCCCCUCACACAUUCCCCAUUGCAAACCUUCGUUACUCUCCCGGAGGCCUCCACUACUUUCGGCAGAACAACUUUCCCACCUGCUUUUAUGGCUUGGAUUCUCCUCAACAGCUGCCCAGAUUGAGAGGAUACAGAAUGCAUUUCUCUGGCAGAGCUACCAGGUAAAGAAAAGGCAAAUGGAUAUCAAGAAUGACCGUAAGAAUAAUGAGAGACUCCUCUUCCAUGGGACAGAUGCAGACUCAGUGCCAUAUGUCAAUCAGCACGGCUUUAAUCGAAGUUGUGCUGGGAAGAAUGCUGUAUCCUAUGGAAAAGGAACCUAUUUUGCUGUGGAUGCCAGUUAUUCUGCCAAGGACACCUACUCCAAGCCAGACAGCAAUGGGAGAAAGCACAUGUACGUUGUGCGAGUACUUACUGGAGUCUUCACAAAGGGACGUGCAGGAUUAGUCACCCCUCCACCCAAGAAUCCUCACAAUCCCACAGAUCUCUUUGACUCAGUGACAAACAAUACACGAUCUCCAAAGCUAUUUGUGGUAUUCUUUGAUAAUCAGGCUUACCCAGAAUAUCUCAUAACUUUCACGGCUUAAAAAUAUUUUUAUCAUCAAAGAGAUGAUUUAAGUCAUCCGUAAGAACAACAUGCAAUCUUUGUCUUUGCUUUUGGCCUGUGUAAGCAGAUGAAAGUUUCCCUUUUAGGUGCCAAAAUGCGGAAAAUUACCUUUUUAAAAUGCUCUAUUGCUGCGAUUUGUAGCAUACCUUUUUUUCUCAGCAAAUUGAUGGGUGGAAGCUGAGAAAUGUAUGGUAAAUGUCACAGAGCUACAACUAUUCACGGACACCAAAUCUCUAGGAGAAUAAAAAGCACAUUAUUCUUUUUCUAUCAGAAAAAAACAAGAUGCAUCACCUUAAAGCCAAGAUGACAUUGUUCUUCUUGAAACAUGUUAAGACAUCGAACGGUGGCGGGUUAAACUGUACUACUUAAGUGGAGCGGCUACCGUUAUGCAUCUAUCACAGUUGGGGAUUUUGCCUUAUUAAGGAAAACUUGUCAAUAGUUCAGCUGAAAUGACUGAAUCACAGAAUAUUAACUCUGUUAUGGAACAGAUCAUAACAGAUUUUACCUGUUUACAUUUCAGGCAAAAAUGUAUCGCAUUGUUACCUAAUAUGUAAAAAAUUACCCCCAAUUUUAGUGACUUAAUCCCACACAGUCUUUAUGGGUCAGGAAUUCAGGCAUGGCUUACCUGGAUCAUUCUGCUAGGGUAUCUCUGAAGUUACAGACAAGAUGUCAGGGGAUGUGGUCGUUUGAAGGCUUGUCUGGGCUGGAGGUCUAUUUCCAAGGUGAAUCACUCACAUACCUGGCACGUUUCUGUCAGGUAUUGGCAGUCCUCAGUUCCUCUCCUCUCAGGCCUCUCCACAGGCUGCUUGAGUGUCCUCAUGACACAACAGUUGGCUUACUCCAGAGUGAGCAACUCAAGAGACAGCAAGGCAGAAGCUACCAAAUCUUUAUGAUUGAAGUCAUACACCAUCUUUUCCACGAGUAUCCUGUUGAUUAUUUUGAUCAGCUUGUUCAGUCUGGGAGGGAAUUGCACAAGGGCAUGAAUACUCCACUGGCAAGGAUCAUUGGGGGCCAUCUUGGAAGCUGUGUGAAUGAGCAAAUGAAUGCACAGAUAGAAUGUUAGCAGUGACAAUGAUGCUAGAGGUCACCUACCCCACUGUCCUCUUGUCCUUCUCCCCCAACCCUCCCCUGCUCCCAGGCAAGAAGCCCUCUAGCCUCUGCUUGAUCACUUUCAGCACUCAACAUCUUCAGGGAACCUAUUCCGCUGGGGGACAGCGUUAAUUAGUGGAAAACUCUUUUUCAAAAGUUGAAAUCAGUUCCUCUGUGUCUAUUACCUGCUGAUCACUGUCCAGACUUCUGGAGGACACAGAGCAAGUUUUAUUCCUCUUACUGAUGGUAGCCUUUCAGAUCCAUCCCUUCCCUCCAGUAUAUUAGAGUUACGUAAAUUCUUAAAAUGCUUAGCAGCUCAUUUAUCCUGAAGCAUCACUUUUGAAGAGUUACAGACAUUUAAGAAGUAUUUACAUUAUCAUAAAUAAAUUACAUGUGCAUUUAAAGAGAACAGAAGAGUAUAAAGAAAAAUAACUCACCAAACUCACUCAUAAUUCCAGCACUAAGGGAAAACCACUGCCAAUUUCUCAUGUCUCCCUUCCAGUUUCUUCUCUGUCCAAAUUCAACAAAGUCAAAAUCACAUUUUGUUCUGUCACAAAUCAUAUAAUUUCUACCAUUUUUCUUUUUUUAAUCUUUUUUUUAUUAUACUUUAAGUUUUAGGGUACAUGUGCACAAUGUGCAGGUUAGUUACAUAUGUAAACAUGUGCCAUGUUGGUGUGCUGCACCCAGUAACUCAUCAUUUAACAUUAGGUAUAUCUCCAAAUGCUAUCCCUCUCCCCUCUCCCCACCCCACAACAGGCCCCGGUGUGUGAUGUUCCCCUUCCUGUGUCCAUGUGUUCUCAUUGUUCAAUUCCCACCUAUGAGUGAGAACAUGUGGUGUUUGGUUUUUUGUCCUUGCGAUAGUUUGCUGAGAAUGAUGGUUUCCAGCUUCAUCCAUGUCCCUACAAAGGACAUGAACUCAUCCUUUUUUAUGGCUGCAUAGUAUUCCAUGGUGUAUAUGUGCCACAUUUUCUUAAUCCAGUCUAUCAUUGUUGGACAUUUGGGUUGGUUCCAAGUCUUUGCUGUUGUGAAUAGUGCCGCAAUAAACAUACGUGUGCAUGUGUCUUUAUAGCUGCAUGAUUUAUAAUCCUUUGGGUAUAUACCCAGUAAUGGGAUGGCUGGGUCAAAUGGUAUUUCUAGUUCUAGAUCCCCAAGGAAUCGCCACACUGACUUCCACAAUGGUUGAACUAGUUUACAGUCCCACCAACAGUGUAAAAGUGUUCCUAUUUCUCCACAUCCUCUCCAGCACCUGUUGUUUCCUGACUUUUUAAUGAUUGCCAUUCUAACUGGUGUGAGAUGGUAUCUCAUUGUGGUUUUGAUUUGCAUUUCUCUGAUGGCCAGUGAUGGUGAGCAUUUUUUCACGUGUCUUUUGGCUGCAUAAAUGUCUUCUUUUUAGAAGUGUCUGUUCAUAUCCUUUGCCCACUUUUUGAUGGGGUUCUUUAUUUUUUUUCUUGUAUAUUUGUUUGAGUUCAUUGUAGAUUCUGGAUAUUAGCCCUUUGUCAGAUGAGUAGAUUGCAAAAAUUGUCUCCCAUUCUGUAGGUUGCCUGUUCACUCUGAUGGUAGUUUCUUUUGCUGUGCAGAAGCUCUUUAGUUUAAUUAGAUCCCAUAUUUCUACUAUUUUUCAUUAAACAUUACAAGUUGUUCUCUUGUGUUCUUAUUUUUUCUGUAAACAUAAUUUUAAUGGCAGAGUUAUUCUGCUUUAUAUCUUUUCCCUAUUUUUAUGUAUAUAGAAUUAUAAAGUUUUUAAAAAUGUAAUCAUCGUUAUUUAUAGUUUAAUAAUCAGUUUCAUCUUGCAGUGUAUCAUUUUCCUCGUCAUUAAAUAUUUUAUGUAUCAUUUUUAA